This 486-nucleotide ribosomal RNA is filed under the name uncultured bacterium. RNAcentral describes it as "bacterial SSU rRNA". It matches the Rfam family "Bacterial small subunit ribosomal RNA", at positions 28 to 511 of the family's 1533-position model. The record is from RNAcentral.
GACGAACGCUGGCGGCGUGCUUAACACAUGCAAGUCGAGCGGUAAGGCCCUUUCGGGGGUACACGAGCGGCGAACGGGUGAGUAACACGUGGGUGACCUGCCCUCAGCUCUGGGAUAAGCCUGGGAAACCGGGUCUAAUACCGGAUAUGACUCCAUGACGCAUGUUGUGGGGUGGAAAGCCUUGUGCGGCUGAGGAUGGGCCCGCGGCCUAUCAGCUUGUUGGUGGGGUGAUGGCCUACCAAGGCGACGACGGGUAGCCGGCCUGAGAGGGCGACCGGCCACACUGGGACUGAGACACGGCCCAGACUCCUACGGGAGGCAGCAGUGGGGAAUCUUGCGCAAUGGGCGAAAGCCUGACGCAGCGACGCCGCGUGAAGGAUGAAAUCCCUCGGGAUGUAAACUUCGCAAGAACGGGAAGAAUAAGCGAGAGUUAAUAUCUUUCGUGAUGACGGUACCGUUUGUAAGCUCCGGCUAACUCCGUGCCAG